ACCAAACAUAAGCACUAAUCUCCAACCUCAAUUGAUUGGUAGUUGGAGACUUUUAGCAGCUCAAUCCAAUGAUUCCUAAAACCUUCCAACUUUUUGGAGCCAUUUUGCUCCUCUUCUUGUUUCAGUUACCAAACAGAAUCCAAUCAAAACCAAGUGGAAAUCCUUUUGGGUUUAUCCAACACCUAGAGGGAUGCCACAAGGGUGAAUCUAUAAGUGGGCUCAAGGACCUUAAACGAUAUCUUGAGAAAUUUGGGUACUUGAAUUACGCCAAAAAAAGCAGAAACAACCAUGCAAAUGAUGAUGAGUUUGAUGAUCUUUUGGAGGCAGCAAUCAAGGAUUACCAACACUACUAUCACCUGCAAGCCACAGGAGUUUUAGACAAUAAUACAGUAUCUCAAAUGACGAAACCUAGAUGUGGGGUGCCAGAUGUUGUCAAAAAUGGCACAAACAAGCACUACCAUAAUCCCAAAUCCAUCCACUCAGUAGCCCAUUUCAGCUUCUUCCCUGGACCCCGAAGAUGGCCAGCAGAGAGAAGCCAUUUAAGAUACAGGUUUCGUUCCAGUGUGCAAGUCCCUGGAACUGGCAAUUUCAGGUCCAUAUGUGCACAAGCAUUUCAGAGAUGGGCACAAGUUACCCACUUCACAUUCGAGGAAGUUGAUGCUAAUUCUGAGGCAGAAAUCGAGAUUGGAUUUCACAGGAGGUUCCAUGGAGAUAGUGACCCCUUUGAUGGAAUAUCAGGGACUUUCGCACAUGCAACUGCACCAACUCAUGGAAGGUGCCAUUUUGAUGGAGAUGAGAUAUGGAGUGGAAAUCCUGGACCUAAUGAGUUGGACUUGGAAUCAGUUGCAGUGCAUGAAAUCGGGCACCUUCUAGGUCUAGACCAUAGUGAAGACCCAAAUGCUAUAAUGUAUUCUACCUUUGAUUAUGGGAUUACCAAAAGGGAUUUGGGUACUGAUGAUAUUCAAGGAAUUCGUACUCUGUAUGGAUUGCAGUAAUGAGUUCAUUAUUCUUAUUACAAUAAGAGCAACUGAGAUCCAAUAUGCUUUGGAGGGUUUAGUGCUACGUAGUUUGAAUAUAAUAUUUUUGAUAAUUCUCAUUUGUAUCACUAGGAAAUAUAUAAAUAAAAGAAAUCUCAUGGUUUUGUAAUUUCAAAUCCUUUUAAAACUAUAUGACUUCUUUAUAAAAUCUCUACACAAAGAUGUAAAAAAGAAAAAAAAAAAAAUCAAAUGUCUUAAUGAUCAGUAUUGAGUAUAAUUAAUUAAACUUGUAUAAUGCAUUAAUUUUAUUUCCAUUUGACUAUUAUUUUAAUUUUACAGUCCUUUUAAAUGAUAAAAUUACUUAUCUUACAAAUUAAAAUAUAUAAUUAAAAAAUAUAUAUGUAUUCCAUCUAUUUCAAUUUACCAACUUUAUUACAAGUGAAUGAAUACUUUUUUACGAAAUAAUCUUUUAAAAGCAAAUACUAUAAUUUUUAGAUUUAGUUAGUGGAAAGACAUAAUUAAAACAGAGAAAUCAAUAUUCAAUAUGUAGAAGGAUUUGAUUUAAAUUUUAGCAGAAGUCCCAAGAUUUUUUUAUGAUUUUUCAAUAUCGGGAACUAUAAGUAUUGAUUAAAAUGAUUUCUAAAAGUUAAUUUAUUUUUAAAUAUAUCUUUGACAAAUCCAACUAGAGAAAAAUUAUAACAAGAUUAGGGAUGGCAGGCGGGCGGGUUUUCAUGGGUAUCCGAUCCGCCCAAACCCUAUUAGGACGGAUUUGGUUUUUACAAAAUGGAUUUGGGCGAAUUCGGAUUUGAAAAAUUUUACCCGUCUCGGAUUCGGGUAGGGUUCGGGAUUAGGUAAUCGGAUACCCAUUACCCGAACCCGAUUAACUAUACUAACAAAACUAACCCUAAUCUCUAAUUUAUUUUUUUAUUUUACUCUUUCCUCUCUUCAUCUACAUCUCUCUCUCCCUCGCUUCCCUUCCCAUAGUUCUCAGCCACGCCCCUCCCCCACUUCACUGCCGGCAGCCCAGUCGUCACCGGCGACGUCUCCUUUCUCUCCCCAGUCGACGAUAAAUCUUCUCUUUCCUCCGUCAGCAAUAUCUCCUUCUCUCUCUCCAGCGGCGACAUCUCCGACUUUCCAGUUGAAGACAACUCUUCCCUGUGCCCGGUCGACGUCGGCGAUAUCUCCUUCUCUCUUCCUAGUCGGGUGAAAUCUACUCUUUUCAAUUUACGCUUCUCUCCCCGCACUUCACUGACGCUAGAGACAACCCUUCUCUCCUCAAUCGGCGACAUCUGCUUUGACUAGAACUCUCUUCAGGUUUCAAGAUCUUUUAUGUGUAUGUUCUUAAAGAAUUUUAUAAUUUAUAAACUAUUAAUCUGAUUAUUUGGAUAUAUUAAAAAAUCUAAUUAUUUGCUAUUUGAUUAAUGUAAUACUGUUGAUUUUUAAAAUUUAUGGACAAUUAUCUAAUUAUUUGAUUAUAAAUCAAUAUUUGUUGGGUUGCUGAGUUGCUGGUUCUUGUCAUUGAACAUUUCUCCUCCUACUGAAUUGUGCAACUGUUAGAUAGUUUAUUUGGUUUUGUCAUUGAAUGAAAUUAAAAAAAUUAUUUGCUGAGUUGCUGGUUUGUAUCGAGUUCGGGUAUUGUGCGGGUAUUGUUAAACGGGUUUGGAACGGGUUCGGAUAGUAAAAUUAAAAUAUUAAACGAGUUUGGGACGGGUUCGGGAAUUGUAUAUAUAAUCGGGUUUGGGUUUGGGUACUCUCAAUUUCGCGGGUACCCUACCCAUUUACAUCCCUAAACAAGAUAAGUAUCGAUUAAAAUGAUUUCUAAAAGUUAAUUUAUUUUUAAAUAUAUCUUUAACAAAUCCAUCUAGAGAAAAAUUAUAACAAGAUAAUUCUUCAAUAAUAAAUUUGCCAUACAAACAUAGGUUUUUCUAUUUCAAAGUUACUUAGUUCUUCUCUAUAAAAUGUGAAUUACCUUAUGCACUAUAAAAAAACCUUCGGAUUAUCCACAGAUUUUAUCAACGAAUUUUAAUCUGUUAAUAAUUUUAAUAAAUUUAAAAAUUAAUUAGUAAUUUUUAUAUAAUUUAUAUGUAUUAUUAAAAAAAUUUAAAAAUGAGUGGUAAUUUAUAAAUAAUUAAAAUAAUCGGUGAUGAAAUUUCCUAACGAAUUUAAAACCUAUUAGUAAAUUCUUUGAUAAUUUACUAAUAAAUUUCAAUAUGUCAGUAAAUCUAAAAAAAUAUUUAAAUUAAUAACAAAUUAUAAAUCUAUUACUAAUAUAUUUAAAAAAUCAUUAUCGAAUUUAAAAAUUUAUUAUUAAAUUUUAUUAUUAUAUUAAUAAAUUAAAAAAAUAUUAAAUUUAUCGAUGUUAUCCAUUAGUAAAUCAUUGAUAAAUUUAAAAUGAAAUCAGAUGUAAAAUUUUUACUUUUUCUUUAGAUUUAUAGUUGUCGGUUAAUGACGAAUUUCAAAUCCGUCGAGAAAAAAUCUAAUUUCUUUUUUUGUAAAAUUUAGUAACGAAUUAUGAAUCCAUUACUAAUUCAUAUUUAUAAAUAUAACACUAUCUCUUUUUCUUUUAUUACUCAUUCAUUUUAUCAUUUUUUUUUAUUUUUUUUCCCUUUCUCUCAUUUUUUUUCUUUUUCUAUUAUUUUCUUUUUCACUUUAUUAUUUCAUAAUUUUUUUUAUUUUUUCUAUUAUUUUCUUUUCUAUCUCUUAUAUUUUUUUUCUCUCAUUCUCUUUUCUCUUUUAUUAUUUUUUUCAUUUUUUUCUCAUAAUUUUCUUUUAGCUUUCUCCAUUAUUUUUCCAUCAUUUUCUUCCCUUUACCUCUCAUUUUCUUCAUUUUCUAUAUAAUUCAUUCAUAUUGCCCUUAUUUGAAAUGUCAAAUUUUGAAAGAAUUCGAAAAAUAAAUAAAUUCCUUUAUUAAAUUUUUGUGUUUGGUACAAUCAAUAAUAUAAAAUUUUAAUUUUCUUGAUUUUCGUGAGAAUUGAUUUUGAAUUAAAAGUAAAUUUUGCCAAAAUUAUUGAAUUUUUACAAAAAAAAAAUUUUAUUUAAAGUUACAUCAAAAUUACUUAAUUAGCCAUUGAAUUUUUUUUUUAAAUUUAAUUUUAAAUUUAUUUCUUAUUUUUAAUUAAUAAUUACUCUUUAUAAAAAUUAUUUUAAUUUAAUAGUAACUAUUAAUAUUUAAUGCAUUUAUAAUUAAUAUUAACAAAUUUAUUAUAUUAUUUUAUUAAUUUUAAAAAUAUUUUUUAUAUUUUAAUGGUAAAAAAUUACGUAAAAUUCAAACUUUAAAUAUUAAUAAUGAUUGUGAUAAAAAUGAAUGUUAUUUAUAAAAAUAAAUAUUUAUAUUUGUUUAAAAAUAAUAAGAAUAUAAAUGAAUUAAAUUAAAUUAAAUUUUAUUAUUAAUUUGUCUAACAUAAAUGAGUUAAAUUGAAUUCUAUUAUAUUUAAAUUGAUUCUAAAUAAAUGAAUUUUUUCAGAAAUAAAUUGAAUUUUUUAAUGAAUUGCAUACCAAAUAAGGGCAUUAAUUACUCUCAUAUUAUAUUCUUUUAUCAUUUUUCUUCUAUCAAUAUUUCUUUCUAUUAUUCUCUUUUUUUUUAUUUUCUUGUAUAAUUAUUUGUCCCUUUUUUUUCAUUUCUCUAAUCAUUAUUUUACUCUAUAUUCAUUCUUCCUUCUUUUUUCAUAAUUUUUAUUUUUUUAUUAUUUUCUUUUUUUAUCAUUUUCUCUUCAUCUAUAUUAUUUAUUUUUCUCUUAUUUUUAUUUUUAUGUAUUUCUAAUAAAUAUUGAAUAUAAAUUAAGAAUUUAGUAACAAUAAUAAUAUAAUUUUAAAUUUUAUUGAAGUAAUAAAAAAUAAUAUUAAUAAUAAAAUUUAUUAUUUAAUUAAAAUAAUAAUUAUUUUUAAAUUAUUUAAAUUUUUAAUAUGAAUUUAGUGACAAAUUGCAAUCUGUUAUUAAUUUAUUAAUGGAUUUAUCAACAGUAUCUGUUAAUAAAAUAUUUUUCUUUCAAUUUAUUAAUAAAUUUAAAAUUCAUUAGUAAUAAUAACAGAAAUUUCACUGAUAAAUAUGUUAAUAUUUUUUAAUAGACUUAAAAACUAUUGGUAAAAAUUUAUCGACGAAUUUUUUCAUAACGGAUUGUAAUCCAUUAGUAAUCAUUAUAAACGAAUUACUAAUAAAUUUUAAUUAAUUAGAUUAUUAACGAAAAAAUUCAUUGAUAAUGCAAAAAUUUCUUAACAAUCAUUUGACUGUUAUCUUAAUUUUACAGUCUCUUAAAUGAUAAAAGUGAUAGGAUGCAAAUUCUGCCUAUUUAGUAUAUGUUUUAAUAUAUUUAAUUUGAUUUGAUUUUGCUAAAUUAUGAAUAUUUUUUUCCCUUUUAUAAUAUUAGCCAAUUUUAUUCAUUCUAGAAAGAAAAAUUCUAUUUUAAAAGUUUAGACAAGAAUCAGAAUUGGAGUCCUAAAUCUAGCCUUGAACAUGUCUUAUACUGUGAGCACAACUUAUAUGAGUUAACUUAUAGUGAGAAGUGAAUGGAGUCAUGAAAUAAAUCUUAGGCAUGCUUCAUAUAAAGGUCACACAUAGAAUUUAUUGAAAAGCAAGUAAAGCUAUAGAGUAAACCUUGGGCUAAGCAUGCACAGACUUAUGCAAUGUCACAGAAUUUUCAUAUCUAAUUCUCUAUUAAAUUGUAAAAAUCAAUUUAGGAAGAAAUGAUUUUACAAAGAAAUGACACUUUUAGAUUGUUACUUCUAGAUUUUCUUUUAUUUCUCUUUAGUUUAGGAUUACUCUCGUUUAAAAAAUGGAAGGUUCUUUGAAUGGGAGAACUUUUGAAACUCAUGAUGCUUUACUUUUUUGCUUUUAUGAUUAGUUCUUUGAAUGGAAAAAUGGAAGAUUCUUUGAAUUAAAAAAACACAUAAAAAAAUAUUCACACAAGUGUAAUCAAACUGAACUGAACUGAUUUUUGUAAAAUUUAGAUUCAUUUAUUAAAAAAUUUUAAAAAUUCGACCUCGAGCUGGUUUAAACUCAAUUCGAAAAUUAAAUACUAUAAUCGAGUUCAGUUCACACUCGACUCAUAAAAAACUCGUUUAGUAUAAUAACGAAUCUAAUAACUUGACUCAUAAAAAACUCAUUUAGUAUAAUAAUGAGUCUAAUUUCAACUUUAAUAUGAAAAUUUGAAUUAAAAAAUUUAAAUUCGAAAAAUUCAAUUAAAAAACUCCAACUCGAAAAAUUCUAAAACAAUUUGAUGAUUUAUUUUUAAUUGUAAUCAAUUAAAUUAAAAGUUAAAACAAUAUAUUAUCAUUUAAUUCACAUCAGAUCAACUUACCUUGCGUCCAUCUAAAGAUACUAAUUAAUUAAUUAGUUAGAAGACCUUCUAGAGUGUCAAUAGCAAUAAUGCCGAUGAAAUAGGAUCUCCACACUUGCUUUUCGUUGUUUAUAAAGGAAUUUAAUAAGAAUGUUUUUAAAGUGUUGAUUUGAUUUGUCCGCAUAAAUUGAGGGAAAAAGAACAAAAAAGGAAAGGACGAAGCAAUUCAUAUAUAUAAUAACAAGUUUUUCCAAAAAGAGAAAACACGAUAUUUUUUCCUAAAUCUAAACUAAAAACAGACUUUAAAAAAAAAAAAAAACUGUAUGCAUGUUUCUCCAAAAUUUAACAAGGAUUCGAGUAUGUGUCUCCAAAAUUUAGUAGAAAAUUUUGAAUAUGCAAAUUAACAAUUUAUUUGAGUGUAUAAAUAAUUUGGAUUGAACAAAUAAUUUUCUCAAUUUCCUCAUUUUUUAGGAAGGCUUUGUAGUGCGUCAAGGGCAGUGGGUUCCAAGCAACUAAAUAAUUAGAUUGACUUCCCACUUGCUUUUCCUUUUUGGCAACGGGAAAAUAAGACCACUUAAUGAGAAUUACUAGGAAAUGAUAAACAUCAAUAAAUAAAUAAUUCAAGAGGAAGACUAGGUAGACUAUUCUUCUGAUGGCCAGAAAUUUUCAUAUACUUUAACAUAGAAAUUAAGAAUUUUCCUUCAGUCUAAAUUAACCCCUUGUCGAAGGCAAGACUUUUAUAAGUCUUUCUAAGUAAACAUAUAUAGAAACUAAGCACUAUAAAUAGAUACAGAAACUCCAUUCAUUCCCACCAAACAUAAGCACUAAUCUCCAACCUCAAUUGAUUGGUAGUUGGAGACUUUUAGCAGCUCAAUCCAAUGAUUCCUAAAACCUUCCAACUUUUUGGAGCCAUUUUGCUCCUCUUCUUGUUUCAGUUACCAAACAGAAUCCAAUCAAAACCAAGUGGAAAUCCUUUUGGGUUUAUCCAACACCUAGAGGGAUGCCACAAGGGUGAAUCUAUAAGUGGGCUCAAGGACCUUAAACGAUAUCUUGAGAAAUUUGGGUACUUGAAUUACGCCGAAAAAAGCAGAAACAACCAUGCAAAUGAUGAUGAGUUUGAUGAUCUUUUGGAGGCAGCAAUCAAGGAUUACCAACACUACUAUCACCUGCAAGCCACAGGAGUUUUAGACAAUAAUACAGUAUCUCAAAUGACGAAACCUAGAUGUGGGGUGCCAGAUGUUGUAAAAAAUGGCACAAACAAGCACUACCAUAAUCCCAAAUCCAUCCACUCAGUAGCCCAUUUCAGCUUCUUCCCUGGACCCCGAAGAUGGCCAGCUGAGAGAAGCCAUUUAAGAUACAGGUUUCGUUCCAGUGUGCAAGUCCCUGGAACUGGAAACUUCAGGUCUAUAUGUGCACAAGCUUUUCAGAGAUGGGCACAAGUUACCCACUUCACAUUCGAGGAAGUUGAUGCUAAUUCUGAGGCAGAAAUCGAGAUUGGAUUUCACAGGAGGUUCCAUGGAGAUGGGAACCCUUUUGAUGGAAUAUCAGGGACUUUAGCACAUGCAUUUGCACCAACUAAUGGAAGGUGCCAUUUUGAUGGAGAUGAGAUAUGGAGUGCAAAUCCUGGACCUAAUGAGGUGGACUUGGAAUCAGUUGCAGUGCAUGAAAUAGGGCAUCUUCUGGGUCUUGACCACAGUGAGGAUCGAAAUGCUAUAAUGUAUUCUACCUUUGAUUAUGGGAUUACCAAAAGGGAAUUGGGUACUGAUGAUAUUCAAGGAAUUCGUACUCUGUAUGGAUUGCAGUAAUAGUUGCAUUAUUUUAUUGUAAUAAGAGCAAUUGAGAUCCAAUAUGCUUUGGAGGCUUAGUGCUAUAUUGUUCGAAUGUAAUAUUUCUAAUAUUUUUCCCUUAUAUCACCGGUUAAAAGAAUCACAUGGCUGCUUAAAGGUUUUAUGAUAUAGGACUAAUUAGAUUUCGUCAAGAGUUUUAACUGAUAAUAUUUUAAUGGAUUUAUUAAUGGAUCUUAUAUUUAUUAGUAAAUUAUUUUUCUUUUAAUUUACUAUAAAUCUAAAAUCCGUUAAUAAUAAUAACGGAAAUUCCAUUAGUAAAUAUGUUUAUAUUUACUAAUAGAUUUAAAAAUCGUUGACAAGCUUUUUAAUAAGGGAUUGUAAUCCGUUGGUAAACAAAUUAUCAAUGGAUUUUUAUUAGAUUACCAAUGAAAAAAUUUGUUGGUAAUGCAGAAGUUUCUUGUAGUGAGAUUCACCAUUAUCUUAAUUUUAUAAUUUCUUAAAUAAUAAAAGUGAUAGGAUGCAAAUUCUGCCUAUUUAAUAUAUAUUUUAACGUAUUUAAUUUGAUUUGAUUCUGUUAAAUUAUAGUUAUUUCUUUUCCUUUUGUAGUAUUGACAGAUUUUAUUCAUUCUGAAAAGAAAAGUUUUAUUUUGAAUGUUUAGACAAGAAUUAGAAUUGGAGUCGUAAAGCUAGUCUUGAGUACGUCUCACACACAGUGAGCACAACUUACAUUAAAUGACUUAUACGGAGCAAUGAAUAGAGUCAUGAAAUAAAUCUUAGGCACGCUUCAAAUCAUGGUCGCAAAUAGAAUUCAUUGAGAAGCAAAUAAAACCAUAGAGUAAACCUUGGACUAAGCGUACACAGAUUUGUAGCAUAACUUAUGCAAUAUCACGGGAUUUUCAUAUCUAAUUCUUUAUUAAAUUGCAGAAACCAGUUUAUGAAGAAUUGAUUUUAGAAAGAAAAAAAACUUUUAGAUGGUUACUUCUAGAUUUUUUUUAUUUCUCUUAAGAAAAGUUCUUUGAAGUGAGAACUUUUGAAACUUCUUAUACUUUACCUUUUUGCUUUUAUAAUUGGUUGCGACAUGAGUUACGGUGGCAAAUCUUUUUUAUCUAGUUAGGGAACUUUCGAGGUGUAUCCUUCUUAUUUUUAGUUUUUAUAUUAUCCCUUUGUUCUUUAGAAUUUUAUUUAUUUAAUUGAUGUAAUAUAUCCAAUUGCUCAAUUGAGUAAAUAGCAUAUAAUCAUUUAAAUUCAUUUAGUCUCUUCUUAUUUCUAGUUUCUAUAUUAUUCUUUUAUUCUUUAGAAUUUUAUUUAUUUAGUUGAUGUAAUCUAUCCAAUUGCUCAAUUGAGUAAAUAACAUAUAAUCAUUCAUAUUCAUUUAGUCAGUAAUUAUUUGUGAGUUUUAUAUUUGUGACAAACAAUAUUUUAUUGUGAAAUAAGAUAUUAUGAUUUCAUAGUUGCGCUGGUAUGACCUUCUUGGUUAGAAUCGGGUCUUUCUAAUUUUAAAUGCCGUUAUCAAAUUAAAUCUUAUUAAAUUUAUCAUAUAGUUUGUUUGUUGAUUAGGGGCUAAUUAGUAAACUGAUCCUUUUUAGUCUAUUAUCUAACGAAAAAUUAAAUUGUUAGAACGUGUCAAUAAUUAUAACUAGCUGACCAGAAAUUAAUUUAAAUAUUCUUGCAUCUAUGAUCAAUCUCGAAAAUUAACACCAAGAUACUCUCGAAAUUAAAUAUUUUUUAAAUCUAAUUAAUCUCUUUAAUUAUUUGCUUCUUAAUUAGUUUACUUUUACAUUCAAUUAAAUCUCUUUAAUCUAAAACCCCAUACUUUUAUAUUUUAUUUUACUUUAUUUUUAGAGUAAACUACAAUUUAGUCCCUCUAGUUUAGUGAAAUAUAACCUUUCAUCCCUCUGUUUUUAAAAAUCGUCAAUUUAGUUACUGUGAUUUUUAAAAAUUAUGCCAUUAGUCCCUCCCGUUAGAUUUUCAGUUAAGUCACCAUUAGUUUUAGUUAAAAGACUAAAAUACCCAUUCUCUCAUCCACCUCAUCAGUCUAUCAUGGAAUUGUGUCCUCUGUUGCCAUGGAUGUCUAGAGCUUCCACAAGAAAAACAAGGGUGUUAAGUUAACAGUGGCAAAGAAAUCUUACAGACAAUUAGUAAGAAAUUUUACAUGAUAAGACCAAAGAACUUGGUCUUGGAUCCCACUUUGGAUGUUCAGAUUUUGAAAUCAAAACAAAAUUUUUUUAAAUAAGCAACUGAUAAUCACAACAGAGGGACCAAUAGCAUAAUUUUUAAGAUAGAGGAUCUUGAAGAUGGAGGAGUACUCAUUUCGAAUCAUCCUAAAAAAAGCCCGAAUCGAGAGUUUUGCUUCGUGGGUUUGCAGAUAUGGAUGCUAGAACUCCAUUCUCUCACCCACAAUUCCAUCGACUGCAAUUCCAUGAUAGAAAAUAGCUGGAGAGAAUUGGAAAGAACCUUUGGAGAAAGAUCAUAGACAUUAGAACAGCGCAUGCUGAUUAACCUACGCAAGCAUUUGACUUCUGCGGCCACAUCGGCCGUGUUCAUCCGUACCUUCACCAUAUCUUCUCCCUAUUCAAAGAUCGCUCUUUAUCUCUGUGUCCUUGUGAAUGGAACUGGAGAAGAUAUCCGUAGCAAAAGGAGUUGUCUUUCGAUUUCAAAAUAUGGAGAAAGGUCUUCGCCUUGCUCGCUACCGCCUGGUGCCUGGAUAAUUUCCAGUUCCGACAUGCUUUGCGAUGUCGUUUUGUCCAUCAUCUUUGAAGAAUACACUUGCUGCAAAAUAUGUGAUCAAAAUCUGUAGCUUAAGUGUUCGGUAGAAGUAGGUGGCUUCAUUUAAUGUUUACUGUUACCAUUGCUUGAUCUGUUGCUUAAAACACUCUCUGCCACAAUUGUUGAUGAUGUUGUCUUGCUAGAGUUGUUUUCUAAAGAGUUUUGAAGAAACACAAUCCAUUGAUAGACUGAUGAGGUGGGUGAGAGAAUGGGUAUUUUAGUUUUUUAACUAAAACUAACGAUGACUUAACUGAAAAUCUAACGGGAGGGACUAAUGGCAUAAUUUUUAAAAAUCACAAUGACUAAAUUGAUGAUUUUUUAAAACAGAGGGACGAAAUGUUAAAUUGCACUAAACUAGAGGGACUAAAUUGUAGUUUACCCUUAUUUUUAUCAAGGAAUAAAAUUAAACAGUAAUUUUUGAAUUUAAUCCUACUCACUAUAUUUAUAAUUAUUUAUAAUAAGAGCAUGAUUUAUUUUUAUUGGAUUCGACACCUAUUAAAAAUUAUUUUAAAAUAACUUAUUUUACAAAUCAAAAUACAUAAUUAUAAAAUAAUAUAUGAAUAUAUUCCUCUUAUUUUGAUUAACAAAAUUUAUUAUAAAAUCAUGAUUUAUGCAUUCAAGGUUCAAUGUACACAAUAAUAAACACUUCUUUUACAAAUUAAUAUUUCAAAAAUAAAUACUAUAGUUUUUAAAUUUAUUUAAUAAAAAAACAUAAUUAAGUCAGAAGAAUGGAUUUUAAAAGAAGCUUUUAUACGUGUAAAAGUUGAGAAAAUUACAAAACCUAAUACAAAUAAAUCAAUACGAAGAUGGAUGAUUUGGUUGCUCCAUUUACAAACUGAUCUUUUAUUAAUAAAUUAUUUAAAAUUAUAAUACAUGGUAUAUAAAUUAAAAACUAUAGAUAAUAAUUAAAUUGGUUAUAAUAUUUAUUAUUAUAUAAUAAAAAUUAUAUACAUAUAAAAAAUAAUUAUAUUUUCAAUUAUAUUAUAUAUGUUAUAUAAUAAAUUAAUAUUUUUAUAUUUAUUUUAUUAACAUAGUAAAUUAAUAAUAUCGUCAUUAGUCAUUUUAUAUGUCUAGACAUAGUAUACAAAAGCAGGCUUAGCCUGGUGGAAAGUGCAUCCUGUAGCCUUGAAAGGUCUAAGGUUUGACUCCUCCAACCCCUAUUUCAAAAAAAAAAAAAAAGACAUAAUAUACAAAACACAUAAGGUAUAUCAGUUAAAAUUAAUUACCAGCGAUAAACUAUCAAUAACUAUUAUCAAUUAUAUUUAACAGGUAAAUAAAACAUUUUUUAAUUUGAUAGUGAUUAUUCUCUGAUUAGCUUUCAGUUUACACUGCACUAUCAAUUGCAAUUUAUUCCUUUUGAAUUAAUAUAUUUUUUUAAUUCAAAUAAAAUUAAGCUCCUAAUUUUUUUUAAGCAAUGAGUUAUGCCAAUGCAUUCAAUUUGUUUUUCCAUAUUACAAGACUAAUUAAAUUAAUUUAGUCAUCGUUGAAUUAAGCAAUUUAAGUUUUCCUAUAAUGAAAAAAAACUUACGAAAAACACUUAAAAAAAACAUUCAUCAGACAUAUAAUUGAAUCGAGUCGAAUUAAUUUUUAUAAAGCACACAUUUGUUUAUUAAAAAAUUUUGGAAACUCGACCUCAAACUGACUUCAACUCGAUUCAAAAAUUAAAUAUUAUAAUAGAAUUCGGUUCGAACUCGACACUUUAAAAACCCGUUUAAUAUAAUAAUGAGCCUAAUUUAACUCGUAAAAAAUUUAUUUAAUAUAAUAAUAAAUCUAAUUUAAAUUUAAAUUCGAGAAACUCAGAUUAAAAAGUUCGAGCUCGAAAAAUACUAAAAUAAUUGGAUGAUUUAUUUCUAGCUUUAAUCAAUUAAAUUAAAAGUUAAAACGAUAUACUAUUAUUUAAUUCACAUCAGAUCAACUUAUCUUGCAUCCAUCUAAAGAUAUCAAAUAAUUAAUUAGUUAGAAGACCUUCUAGAGUGUCAAUAACAAUAAUGCCUAUGAAAUAGUUUUCUCCCCACUUGCUUUUCAUUGUUUAUAAAGGAAUUUAAUAAGAAUGUCUUAAAAGUGUUGAUUUGAUUUGUCGACAUAAAUUGAGAAAAAAAAAAAAGAACUGGAAACGACGAAACAAUUCAUAUAUAUAAUAACAAGUUUUUCCAAAAAGAGAAAAGACAAUAUUUUCUCCUAAAUCUAAAGUAAAAACAGACUUAAAAAAAAAAAAAAGAAACUGUAUGUUUCUCCAAAAUUUAACAAUAAUUCGUGUAUGUGUCUCCAAAAUUUAAUAUAAAAUUUUGAAUAUGCAAAUUAACAAUUUAUUUGAGUGUAUCAAUAAUUUGGAUUGAACAAAUAAUUUUCUCAAUUUCCUCAUUUUUUAGGAAGGCUUUGUAGUGCGUCAAGGGCAGUGGGUUCCAAGCAACUAAAUAAUUAGAUUGACUUCCCACUUGCUUUUCCUUAUUGGCAACGGGAAAAUAAGACCACUUAAUGAGAUUAAUUACUAGGAAAUGAUAAACAUCAAUAAAUAAAUAAUUAAAGAGGAAGACUAGGUAGACUAUUCUUCUGAUGGCCAGAAAUUUUCAUAUACUUUAACAUAGAAAUUAAGCAUUUUCCCUGAGUCUAAAUUAACCCCUUGUUGAAGACAAGACUUUUAGAAGUCUUUCCUACUAAUCAUAUAUAGAAACUAAGCACUAUAAAUAGAUACAGAAACUCCAUUCAUUCCCACCAAGCAAAAGCACUAAUUUCCAACCUCAAUUGAUUGGUAGUCGGAGAAUUUUAGCAGUUCAAUCCAAUGAUUCCUAAAAACUUCCAACUUUUUGGAGCUAUUUUGCUCCUCUUCUUGUUUCAGUUACCAAACAGAAUCCAAUCAAAACCAAGCGGAAAUCCUUUUGGGUUUAUCCAACACCUAGAGGGAUGCCACAAGGGUGAAUCUAUAAGUGGGCUCAAGGACCUUAAACGAUAUCUUGAGAAAUUUGGGUACUUGAAUUACGCCAAAAGUAACAGCAACAACCAUGCAAAUGAUGAUGAGUUUGAUGAUCUUUUGGAGGCAGCAAUCAAGGAUUACCAACACUACUAUCACCUGCAAGCCACAGGAGUUUUAGACAAUAAUACAGUAUCUCAAAUGACGAAACCUAGAUGUGGGGUGCCAGAUGUUGUCAAAAAUGGCACAAACAAGCACUACCAUAAUCCCAAAUCCAUCCACUCAGUAGCCCAUUUCAACUUCUUCCCUGGACCCCGAAGAUGGCCAGCUGAGAGAAGCCAUUUAAGAUACAGGUUUCGU
This 14071-nucleotide long non-coding RNA is filed under the name Manihot esculenta (cassava). Its description in RNAcentral is "long non-coding RNA (MESC_LNC004176)". Lineage: Eukaryota; Viridiplantae; Streptophyta; Magnoliopsida; Malpighiales; Euphorbiaceae. The record is from RNAcentral.